UCCUACGGGAGGCAGCAGUGGGGAAUUUUGGACAAUGGGCGAAAGCCUGAUCCAGCAAUGCCGCGUGUGUGAAGAAGGCCUUCGGGUUGUAAAGCACUUUUGUCCGGAAAGAAAUCCUUGGCUCUAAUACAGUCGGGGGAUGACGGUACCGGAAGAAUAAGCACCGGCUAACUACGUGCCAGCAGCCGCGGUAAUACGUAGGGUGCGAGCGUUAAUCGGAAUUACUGGGCGUAAAGCGUGCGCAGGCGGUUUGCUAAGACCGAUGUGAAAUCCCCGGGCUCAACCUGGGAACUGCAUUGGUGACUGGCAGGCUAGAGUAUGGCAGAGGGGGGUAGAAUUCCACGUGUAGCAGUGAAAUGCGUAGAGAUGUGGAGGAAUACCGAUGGCGAAGGCAGCCCCCUGGGCCAAUACUGACGCUCAUGCACGAAAGCGUGGGGAGCAAACAGGAUUAGAUACCCUGGUAGUCCACGCCCUAAACGAUGUCAACUAGUUGUUGGGGAUUCAUUUCCUUAGUAACGUAGCUAACGCGUGAAGUUGACCGCCUGGGGAGUACGGUCGCAAGAUUAAAACUCAAAGGAAUUGACGGGGACCCGCACAAGCGGUGGAUGAUGUGGAUUAAUUCGAUGCAACGCGAAAAACCUUACCUACCCUUGACAUGGUCGGAAUCCCGCUGAGAGGUGGGAGUGCUCGAAAGAGAACCGGCGCACAGGUGCUGCAUGGCUGUCGUCAGCUCGUGUCGUGAGAUGUUGGGUUAAGUCCCGCAACGAGCGCAACCCUUGUCCUUAGUUGCUACGCAAGAGCACUCUAAGGAGACUGCCGGUGACAAACCGGAGGAAGGUGGGGAUGACGUCAAGUCCUCAUGGCCCUUAUGGGUAGGGCUUCACACGUCAUACAAUGGUCGGAACAGAGGGUUGCCAACCCGCGAGGGGGAGCUAAUCCCAGAAAACCGAUCGUAGUCCGGAUUGCACUCUGCAACUCGAGUGCAUGAAGCUGGAAUCGCUAGUAAUCGCGGAUCAGCAUGCCGCGGUGAAUACGUU
RNAcentral lists this ribosomal RNA (1037 nucleotides) under uncultured Burkholderia sp. RNAcentral's name for it is "bacterial SSU rRNA". It matches the Rfam family "Bacterial small subunit ribosomal RNA", at positions 337 to 1372 of the family's 1533-position model. Lineage: Bacteria; Pseudomonadati; Pseudomonadota; Betaproteobacteria; Burkholderiales; Burkholderiaceae. The record is from RNAcentral.